AUUGAACGCUGGCGGCAGGCCUAACACAUGCAAGUCGAGCGGAUGAAGGGAGCUUGCUCCUGGAUUCAGCGGCGGACGGGUGAGUAAUGCCUAGGAAUCUGCCUGGUAGUGGGGGAUAACGUCCGGAAACGGGCGCUAAUACCGCAUACGUCCUGAGGGAGAAAGUGGGGGAUCUUCGGACCUCACGCUAUCAGAUGAGCCUAGGUCGGAUUAGCUAGUUGGUGGGGUAAAGGCCUACCAAGGCGACGAUCCGUAACUGGUCUGAGAGGAUGAUCAGUCACACUGGAAAUGAGACACGCUCCAGAGUCCUACGGGAGGCAGAAGAGUGGAAUAUUGGACAAUGGGCGAAAGCCUGAUCCAGCGAUGCCGCGUGUGUGAAGAAGGUCUUCGGAUUGUAAAGCACUUUAAGUUGGGAGGAAGGGCAGUAAGUUAAUACCUUGCUGUUUUGACGUUACCAACAGAAUAAGCACCGGCUAACUUCGUG
Molecule: ribosomal RNA, 484 nt
Filed under: uncultured bacterium
Lineage: Bacteria
Description: partial 16S ribosomal RNA
Rfam family: Bacterial small subunit ribosomal RNA
Source: RNAcentral